UCUUCGGGAAGCCUCCUGCGCGGCGACUAUAANCACGCGCACAGNNAGAACCCUGGGCGACGUCACCCCUGUGCUGGAACCCUUACAUCCCCUUGUAGCGGACCAGCAGCCAGCCCGUCUGGUUCACAGAUUAAGUGGUGGCGGGCCCGACCGACACGGUUGGGGUCAANAGAUAAUCGGUCCCCCGUUGUGGUCCAACGGUGGAGCAGACGUUCCGUAGGUGAACCUGCGGAAGGAUCAUUA
This 243-nucleotide ribosomal RNA is filed under the name Bagliettoa baldensis. RNAcentral's name for it is "partial 18S small subunit ribosomal RNA". The record is from RNAcentral. Lineage: Eukaryota; Fungi; Ascomycota; Eurotiomycetes; Verrucariales; Verrucariaceae.